Molecule: transfer RNA, 57 nt
Filed under: Anolis fuscoauratus
Lineage: Eukaryota; Metazoa; Chordata; Lepidosauria; Squamata; Anolidae
Description: partial tRNA-Asn
Source: RNAcentral
CGGAGUAAGCGGGCCUUGAUCCCACAUAAACUAGUUAACAGCUAGCUACCCUAACCA